UACGGGGGGGGCAAGCGUUGUUCGGAAUUACUGGGCGUAAAGGGUUCGUAGGUGGCUCGCUUAGUCAGACGUGAAAUCCCUCGGCUUAACCGGGGAACUGCGUCUGAUACUGGCGAGCUUGAGUGCAGGAGAGGAACGCGGAAUUCCAGGUGUAGCGGUGAAAUGCGUAGAUAUCUGGAGGAACACCUGUGGUGUAGACAGCUUACUGGACCAUAACUGACGCUGAGGCACGAAAGCGUGGGUAGCAAACAGG
This 253-nucleotide ribosomal RNA is filed under the name uncultured bacterium. RNAcentral's name for it is "partial 16S ribosomal RNA". It matches the Rfam family "Bacterial small subunit ribosomal RNA", at positions 524 to 776 of the family's 1533-position model. The record is from RNAcentral.